AAAUUGAAGAGUUUGAUCAUGGCUCAGAUUGAACGCUGGCGGCAGGCCUAACACAUGCAAGUCGAACGGUAGCACAGAGAGCUUGCUCUCGGGUGACGAGUGGCGGACGGGUGAGUAAUGUCUGGGAAACUGCCCGAUGGAGGGGGAUAACUACUGGAAACGGUAGCUAAUACCGCAUA
RNAcentral lists this ribosomal RNA (179 nucleotides) under Klebsiella oxytoca. RNAcentral describes it as "partial 16S ribosomal RNA". It matches the Rfam family "Bacterial small subunit ribosomal RNA", at positions 1 to 175 of the family's 1533-position model. Lineage: Bacteria; Pseudomonadati; Pseudomonadota; Gammaproteobacteria; Enterobacterales; Enterobacteriaceae. The record is from RNAcentral.